RNAcentral lists this long non-coding RNA (660 nucleotides) under Homo sapiens (human). Its description in RNAcentral is "non-protein coding PVT1:42". The stretch from base 261 to 397 matches the Rfam family "Pvt1 oncogene conserved region 7". The record is from RNAcentral. Lineage: Eukaryota; Metazoa; Chordata; Mammalia; Primates; Hominidae.
GUGAGUGCUCCGUGAAUGUUAGUUACUGUGAUUAUUUUUAGCCCAGCAGGACAGGGAGGAGUGUUAGGUCCCUGGGGGCGAUCACUCCUCUGUUUACUCCUCGGACUGUCCCGGCCUGGCAGGCGUUCAUGAGUUUGUUUCUCCUGUCCCAAGGUUGCCCUGGUGCUCUGCAGUGGCAGGGCUGAGAUGAUUAUACAACCUGCACUCCAGGCCAAGUCCGGUACUCGUCCCAGCUGUCGGCUAAGCCUGCACUGCUAUGGAAGGACAGAAUAACGGGCUCCCAGAUUCACAAGCCCCACCAAGAGGAUCACCCCAGGAACGCUUGGAGGCUGAGGAGUUCACUGAGGCUACUGCAUCUUGAGACUCAGGAUGAAGACCCAGCUUGGGGCUGUCAAAGGUUUUUUGCAUGUCUGACACCCAUGACUCCACCUGGACCUUAUGGCUCCACCCAGAAGCAAUUCAGCCCAACAGGAGGACAGCUUCAACCCAUUACGAUUUCAUCUCUGCCCCAACCACUCAGCAGCAAGCACCUGUUACCUGUCCACCCCCACCCCUUCCCCCAAACUGCCUUUGAAAAAUCCCUAACCUAUGAGCUUUGAAUAAGAUGAGUACGAACUUCAUCGCCCACGUGGCGUGGCCGGCCUCGUGUCUAUUAAAUUC